GACGAACGCUGGCGGCGUGCUUAACACAUGCAAGUCGAACGGAAAGGCCCUGCUUUUGUGGGGUGCGCGAGUGGCGAACGGGUGAGUAACACGUGAGUAACCUGCCCUUGACUUUGGGAUAACUUCAUGAAACUGGGGCUAAUACCGGAUAGGAGCUCCGGCUGCAUGGUGGGGGUUGGAGAGAUUCGGGGGUUCGGGACGGACUCGCGGUUUCUCAUCUUGUUGGUGGGGUGGUGGCUUACCAAGGCUUCGACGGGUAGCCGGACUGAGAGGGUGACAGGCCACAUUGGGACAGAGAUACGGCCAAGACUCCUACGGGAGGAAGCAGUGGGGAAUAUUGCACGAUGGGCGGAAGCCGGAUGCAGCAACGCCGCGUGCGGGAGGACGGCUGUCGGGUUGUAAAGCGCUUUCGCCUGGGAAGAAGCGUGAGUGACGGUAAUGGGUAAAGAAGCACCGGCUAACUACGUG
Molecule: ribosomal RNA, 468 nt
Filed under: uncultured bacterium
Lineage: Bacteria
Description: partial 16S ribosomal RNA
Rfam family: Bacterial small subunit ribosomal RNA
Source: RNAcentral